Podarcis lilfordi (Lilford's wall lizard) is the source of this 73-nucleotide non-coding RNA. Lineage: Eukaryota; Metazoa; Chordata; Lepidosauria; Squamata; Lacertidae. The record is from the annotation of a GenBank genome assembly.
ACUCAAUUAACUCAGUCAGUAGAGCAUGAGACUCUUAAGCUCACGGUCAAGGGUUCAAGCCCCACAUUGGGCA